This 459-nucleotide ribosomal RNA is filed under the name uncultured bacterium. RNAcentral's name for it is "partial 16S ribosomal RNA". It matches the Rfam family "Bacterial small subunit ribosomal RNA", at positions 338 to 795 of the family's 1533-position model. The record is from RNAcentral.
CCUACGGGAGGCAGCAGUGAGGAAUAUUGGUCAAUGGACGAGAGUCUGAACCAGCCAAGUAGCGUGAAGGAUGACUGCCCUAUGGGUUGUAAACUUCUUUUAUAUGGGAAUAAAAUGUUCCACGUGUGGGUUUUUGUAUGUACCCUAUGAAUAAGGAUCGGCUAACUCCGUGCCAGCAGACGCGGUAAUACGGGGGAUCCGAGCGUUAUCCGGAUUUAUUGGGUUUAAGGGGUGCGUGGGUGGAGUGUUAAGUCAGCGGUAAAAGCCCGGGGCUCAACCCCGGCGGGCCGUUGAAACUGGCUGUCUAGAGGUGGCGAGAGGUAUGCGGAAUGCGCAGUGUAGCGGUGAAAUGCUUAGAUAUUGCGCAGAACUCCGAUUGCGAAGGCAGCAUACCGGAGGGGAUCUGACGCUGAGGCACGAAAGCGUGGGUAUCGAACAGGAUUAGAUACCCGGGUAGUC